AGUGAACGCUGGCGGCGUGCCUAAUACAUGCAAGUCGAACGGAGUGGCGCACGGGUGAGUAAUAUAUAGCUAAUCUGCCCCUUGCUGGAGGACAACAGUUAGAAAUGACUGCUAAUACUCCAUAGCAAGGGAUGAGACUAAAUCGUAUCAGCUAGUCGGUGGGGUAACGGCCUACCGAGGCUAUGACGCGUAACUGGUCUGAGAGGAUGAUCAGUUACAUUUGAACUGAGACACGGACCAAACUCCUACGGGAGGCAGCAGUAGGGAAUAUAACGCAAUGGGGGAAGCCCUGAGGCAGCAACGCCGCGUGGAGGAUGACACUUAUAGGAGCGUAAACUCCUUUUGUGAGGGAAGCGGUACCUAGCGAAUAAGCACCGGCUAACUCCGUGCCAGCAGCCGCGGUAAUAC
RNAcentral lists this ribosomal RNA (408 nucleotides) under uncultured bacterium. RNAcentral describes it as "partial 16S ribosomal RNA". It matches the Rfam family "Bacterial small subunit ribosomal RNA", at positions 29 to 526 of the family's 1533-position model. The record is from RNAcentral.